Brassica oleracea var. oleracea is the source of this 125-nucleotide microRNA precursor. It matches the Rfam family "MIR9563 microRNA precursor family". The record is from Rfam. NCBI's taxonomy places the organism in Eukaryota, Viridiplantae, Streptophyta, Magnoliopsida, Brassicales, Brassicaceae.
GGAAUAUAAGAAUCCGUCUCUUAACUUUUAACUAAAAAACUUAAGAACUGUCUCUUAAAAUUCUUAUUUAAGAGACGAUUUUUAGAUUUUUUAAUUAAAAGUUAAGAGUCAGGUUCUUAUAUUCC